UGAGGAAUAUUGGUCAAUGGGUGCAAGCCUGAACCAGCCAUCCCGCGUGAAGGACGACUGCCCUAUGGGUUGUAAACUUCUUUUGUAUAGGGAUAAACCUACCCUCGUGAGGGUAGCUGAAGGUACUAUACGAAUAAGCACCGGCUAACUCCGUGCCAGCAGCCGCGGUAAUACGGAGGGUGCAAGCGCUAUCCGGAUUUAUUGGGUUUAAAGGGUCCGUAGGCGGACUUAUAAGUCAGUGGUGAAAGCCUGUCGCUUAACGAUAGAACUGCCAUUGAUACUGUAAGUCUUGAGUAUAUUUGAGGUAGCUGGAAUAAGUAGUGUAGCGGUGAAAUGCAUAGAUAUUACUUAGAACACCAAUUGCGAAGGCAGGUUACCAAGAUAUAACUGACGCUGAGGGACGAAAGCGUGGGGAGCGAACAGGAUUAGAUACCCUGGUAGUCCACGCCGUAAACGAUGCUAACUCGUUUUUGGGGCUUCGGCUUCAGAGACCAAGCGAAAGUGAUAAGUUAGCCACCUGGGGAGUACGCUCGCAAGAGUGAAACUCAAAUGAAUUGACGGGGUCAUAGCUGUUUCCU
This 578-nucleotide ribosomal RNA is filed under the name uncultured bacterium. RNAcentral describes it as "partial 16S ribosomal RNA". It matches the Rfam family "Bacterial small subunit ribosomal RNA", at positions 355 to 1375 of the family's 1533-position model. The record is from RNAcentral.